This 504-nucleotide ribosomal RNA is filed under the name uncultured bacterium. RNAcentral describes it as "bacterial SSU rRNA". It matches the Rfam family "Bacterial small subunit ribosomal RNA", at positions 17 to 518 of the family's 1533-position model. The record is from RNAcentral.
UUCUGGCUCAGGAUGAACGCUGGCGGCGUGCUUAACACAUGCAAGUCGAACGAAACACCGGAUCUGAUUCUCGGAUUGAUUAUCCGGUGACUUAGUGGCGGACGGGUGAGUAACGCGUGGGUAACCUGCCUCAUACAGGGGGAUAACAGUUAGAAAUGACUGCUAAUACCGCAUAAGCGCACAGCACCGCAUGGUGCAGUGUAGAAAAGCUCCGGCGGUAUGAGAUGGACCCGCGUUAGAUUAGCCAGUUGGCGGGGUAACGGCCCACCAAAGCGACGAUCUAUAGCCGGCCUGAGAGGGCGACCGGCCACAUUGGGACUGAGACACGGCCCAGACUCCUACGGGAGGCAGCAGUGGGGAAUAUUGCACAAUGGGGGAAACCCUGAUGCAGCGACGCCGCGUGAGUGAAGAAGUUAUUUCGGUAUGUAAAGCUCUAUCAGCAGGGAAAGAAAAAGGACGGUACCUGACUAAGAACGCCCCGGCUAACUACGUGCCAGCAGCAGC